RNAcentral lists this ribosomal RNA (760 nucleotides) under uncultured Rhizopogon. RNAcentral's name for it is "eukaryotic LSU rRNA". The stretch from base 245 to 399 matches the Rfam family "5.8S ribosomal RNA". Lineage: Eukaryota; Fungi; Basidiomycota; Agaricomycetes; Boletales; Rhizopogonaceae. The record is from RNAcentral.
AGGUGAACCUGCGGAAGGAUCAUUAACGAAUAUAAAUCGGAAAGCUGUCGCUGGCCCUCUGGGCAUGUGCACGCCGACCGUGUUUCAUAAAUUUCUCACCUGUGAACCUAAUGUAGGAUGCCUCUCUUUCGGGAGGGGGGACCUAUGUCUUCAUAUACAUCUCCGUGUAGAAAGUCUUAGAAUGUUUACUAUCAUAGAGUCGCGACUUCUAGGAGACGCGAAUCUGUGAGAUAAAAGUUAUUACAACUUUCAGCAAUGGAUCUCUUGGCUCUCGCAUCGAUGAAGAACGCAGCGAAAAGCGAUAUGUAAUGUGAAUUGCAGAUCUACAGUGAAUCAUCGAAUCUUUGAACGCACCUUGCGCUCCUCGGUGUUCCGAGGAGCAUGCCUGUUUGAGUGUCAGUAAAUUCUCAACCCCUCUUGAUUGAGGGAGUUUGGAUAGUGGGGGUUGCUGGAGACUUAGGACUCGGGCUCUCCUGAAAUGCAUCGGCUUGCGGUCGACUUUCGACUAUGCGCGACAAGGCUUUCGGCGUGAUAAUGAUCGCCGUUCGCUGAAGCGCAUGAAUGAAGGUUUCGCGCCUCUAAUACGUCGACUCUUAUUAUCUCUUCGGAGAGAAAAGGUCUUCUUUAUUGACUUUUGACCUCAAAUCAGGUAGGACUACCCGCUGAACUUAAGCAUAUCAAUAAGCGGAGGAAAAGAAACUAACAAGGAUUCCCCUAGUAACUGCGAGUGAACCGGGAAAAGCUCAAAUUUUGAAUCUGG